CACGGGGGGAGCAAGCGUUGUUCGGAAUCACUGGGCGUAAAGGGCGUGCAGGCGGUCAGGUAAGUGGGAUGUGAAAUGCCCCGGCUCACCCGGGGACCGGCAUCUCAUACUGCUUGGCUUGAGUACGGGAGAGGAUGUGGGAAUUCCUGGUGUAGCGGUGAAAUGCGUAGAGAUCGGAAAGAACACCAACGGCGAAAGCACUCUGCUGGGCCGACACUGACACUGAGAGACGAAAGCUAGGGGAGCGAAUGGG
Molecule: ribosomal RNA, 253 nt
Filed under: uncultured bacterium
Lineage: Bacteria
Description: partial 16S ribosomal RNA
Rfam family: Bacterial small subunit ribosomal RNA
Source: RNAcentral